Molecule: ribosomal RNA, 330 nt
Filed under: uncultured soil bacterium
Lineage: Bacteria
Description: bacterial SSU rRNA
Rfam family: Bacterial small subunit ribosomal RNA
Source: RNAcentral
AGAGUGAACGCUGGCGGCAGGCCUAACACAUGCAAGUCGAACGGCAGCACAGCAGUAGCAAUACUGUGGGUGGCGAGUGGCGGACGGGUGAGGAAUACAUCGGAAUCUACCUUGUCGUGGGGGAUAACGUAGGGAAACUUACGCUAAUACCGCAUACGAACUAUGGUUGAAAGCGGCGGACCGCAAGGCGUCACGCGAUUGGAUGAGCCGAUGUCCGAUUAGCUAGUUGGCGGGGUAAAGGCCCACCAAGGCGACGAUCGGUAGCUGGUCUGAGAGGAUGAUCAGCCACACUGGAACUGAGACACGGUCCAGACCUCCGUACGGGAGCAG